This 293-nucleotide ribosomal RNA is filed under the name uncultured bacterium. Its description in RNAcentral is "partial 16S ribosomal RNA". It matches the Rfam family "Archaeal small subunit ribosomal RNA", at positions 455 to 747 of the family's 1478-position model. The record is from RNAcentral.
GUGCCAGCCGCCGCGGUAAUACCGGCAGCCCGAGUGAUGGCCGAUCUUAUUGGGCCUAAAGCGUCCGUAGCUGGCUGCGCAAGUCCGUCGGGAAAUCCACUCGCUCAACGAGUGGGCGUCCGACGGAAACUGCACAGCUUGGGACCGGAAGGCUCGAAGGGUACGUUCGGGGUAGGAGUGAAAUCCCAUAAUCCCGCACGGACCACCGGUGGCGAAAGCGCCUCGGGAGGACGGAUCCGACGGUGAGGGACGAAAGCCAGGGUCACGAACCGGAUUAGAAACCCGUGUAGUCC